Astatotilapia calliptera (eastern happy) is the source of this 351-nucleotide long non-coding RNA. The record is from Ensembl. Lineage: Eukaryota; Metazoa; Chordata; Actinopteri; Cichliformes; Cichlidae.
GUGGAGACUACAUGUGUAAGAGUCGACGCAGAGAUGACUCAUAUUCUUCAACAGAGUGGAGUGAAGCCUUCACAUUGUCAGCAUCAAAUAAACCCAGGGCCACACUGACAGCAGGAACAACAAUCAUACCAGUAGGGGGCAGUGUGACACUGACCUGCUCUGUGCAGAGCUCUGAUGGAUGGAAAUAUGAGUGGUUCAGACGAACCCAAACAACCUCUGAAGGUCAAAUCAGAGAUCAACAAAACAGAGAUAUCAGAGUAUCUGAAGGAGGAAUCUACAGCUGCAGAGGAACAAGAGGAAACCCAGUUUACUACACUGAUAGAAGUGAUGAUGUCACCAUUGAGAAAACCA